GAUGAACGCUGGCGGCGUGCCUAAUACAUGCAAGUCGAGCGAACGGACGAGAAGCUUGCUUCUCUGAUGUUAGCGGCGGACGGGUGAGUAACACGUGGAUAACCUACCUAUAAGACUGGGAUAACUUCGGGAAACCGGAGCUAAUACCGGAUGAUAUUUUGAACCGCAUGGUUCAAAAGUGAAAGACGGUCUUGCUGUCACUUAUAGAUGGAUCCGCGCUGCAUUAGCUAGUUGGGAAGGUAACGGCUUACCAAGGCAACGAUGCAUAGCCGACCUGAGAGGGUGAUCGGCCACACUGGAACUGAGACACGGUCCAGACUCCUACGGGAGGCAGCAGUAGGGAAUCUUCCGCAAUGGUCGAAAGCCUGACGGAGCAACGCCGCGUGAGUGAUGAAGGUCUUCGGAUCGUAAAACUCUGUUAUGAGGGAAGAACAUAUGUGUAAGUAACUGUGCACAUCUUGACGGUACCUAAUCAGAAAGCCACGGCUAACUACGUG
This 497-nucleotide ribosomal RNA is filed under the name uncultured bacterium. RNAcentral's name for it is "partial 16S ribosomal RNA". It matches the Rfam family "Bacterial small subunit ribosomal RNA", at positions 28 to 507 of the family's 1533-position model. The record is from RNAcentral.